Long non-coding RNA from Cebus imitator (Panamanian white-faced capuchin), 1246 nucleotides. RefSeq lists it as uncharacterized. NCBI's taxonomy places the organism in Eukaryota, Metazoa, Chordata, Mammalia, Primates, Cebidae. The transcript is spliced from 5 exons. The record is from RefSeq and is a predicted model, not a curated record.
CGAAAGAUGGGUGGAUGGGUGAGUGGGUGGGGUCCCCUUUCUGAUGUAUAAAAACACAACUGGUAGGUUUGGGGUUAAUGUUACAAUUGGACUCCAGGAAAACACACACUGUACAUUCAAAAUAAUUCUAACCCAGUUUUAAAAUAUAAAUAAUUAAAAAGUAUUUUCCCUCUAGCACGUCUGAAUAGUAUUCUUUACUAAGAGAAAGAAGCCCAUGCUCCAUGCCGUCUUUGAUAGCUCCCUCGUGCUCCUAGAUUGACAGGUGAUACCAGGGAAGCCACUGCUUGCCUUUGUGCCUUUGGGGAGGCGGGGGUUGCAGUGGGAAGUCUGAAGGCUCGCCAUCACGAACUCCUUCUUCCUGAGAUGGGGCACUUGGCUGUGAAGCCACAGGAGGCUGGAGGGGUAGAGGCUGGGGGCAGGAAGAGGAGGAAGUGAGGAAGGGGGCGAUGCCCGGGAGGGCGCUGGGCGAGUAACCAAUUCCUUCACUGGGGGCAGGCGGGAGUCUCCAGGGUCAUUAUGGGGCAACCUGUGCAGGGAAGGGAGGAAAGGUUUCCGGAAGUCUGCCGCUCUCCCUCCUGCCUGCUCCCCUCCUCGGCCUAGCGGUUGAUUGCGAGGAGCAGCGGAAGGAAGGAUGUAUCAAACAGAAAGAAGAAAGGACCCCUGCCGGUCGACCCCUGACAUCCGACUCUGAACGGCGGCGAUCGGGAGGCCGCGGCGUGUUGCAGAUUAACAGCAGCGAGGGCAGGAGGCAAAGCAGAUGCCUCGGGAGCUGGCUGUUUCCUUUAGCCCUGAGAGCGGGCUGUAGGCACAGGUUCCAUAUCAAAGGCAACGGGAGCCAGGCUGUGGCCAUAUUACAUCAGGCAAAACUUAGAAGACGUGUUUAUGCUGAAUCUCCAGAUAGAGCAAGAGAAGCCCAGCUUGGGGGAGAUGACUGGACCUUGAAUAUCUGGGAUAAAAAGAGAUCCAUUUAUGGGACCUUUUCAGAAGAGCCUCUUAAGACACAUGUUUCAGAAUGCAGUCAAAUUCGUGCUGCUGUGUGACCAGCCUAUUUGAUUAUGCCUCCAAAUCCUAUGGAAGUAUAACAACCACAGAAGAGACAAAACCCAACAGCACCAACAACAGAGAAUCUCAGUUCAGGAAGAUAUGAAACCCUUUGUAAUAAAGAAAGCAACACGGUGAACAUUUGUGUAAUGUGUCUUUGUGGUAGAAUGAUUUAUAUUCCUUUGGCACUAUUCACAAUAGCAAA